AUACUUGUGUGUGUGUUCAGGGGGAGUUGUCCUGCAUAUCAAAGCUGAAGGAGCUGCACUAAAACACUGGUAUGAAACUCUGAAAAACCCUAAUCAGCUACAUAUUCAAUGGCAUGACCUUGAGACCAUGACUGUACAGGAUGACUAAAGGUUGGUGUCUGGAUGACUCUAAGUGCUGUUUAGAAUUCAAUCACCACAAAUUCUUUACACUACACACUCAGAAUAUAAUUAUUGUACUAGUUUUAUGAAUAGAACAUUUGCUUGAGGGUCUCAUUUCACAGACACUGCCAGAAUGCCCUUUUCAUUUUAGUAAACAAAUUUAUUAUUUUCUCAANAGGAAAGAAAGUAACAUUAAAACAUCACAAACAAAAGUGCUUAAAAUGGUGCCUUUAAGUAAAUGGUCUAUGGUUAUGCUUAAUUUUUGCUAUUCAAUACACAAGUAUUUUAUGGGUAUGAUGUUACCAUACUUUAUUUNGAGAGCCAUUCUUCUUCUAACUUUGCAGUUGGUAAAGAAAAGUGGCUCUGUCAUUGAGUAGUCUUAUAAUAUACUAGCCUCUUUCAUAGCCUGGGAAAGGGAGGGACAAGAAGCAUAAUAUAAAGAGGUAUUUGCAUAUAUUCACUAAAGAAAUAUAAGACAGCGUUGAAAGCAGUAACAAUAUUAUGUAUUAACUUAUUAGCAUGUUAACUGUGAAACAGUUCUUUUUAAAAACAGGCAAUUACCAUUCAGUAUUUUAAUAAGCCUUUGUUUGCCCCUAACAUAAGUUUAUAUUAAAAAAAAACAGUGUAUUUAUUAAGGAAAUUAUUAAAAAGAAGACAUAUUGUAAUAAUUAGAGUGCUUUCAGCAUAAGCAUGUAACAUUUUAGUAACACUAAUUGUGUACUAUGUUAUGCUAAUUCGUUUCUAUUUCUGUUGUCCAACUUUUUUGCAGUUAUUACUGAAUGUUUGUGCUUUUACUGGAUGCAUUCUUGUUAGAGUGGACACACUAAACCAGUCAAACGUUUGUUGAUGGAAUGAGAUAGUGUAUUCACUCUAUAAUCAUGAUAACUAUUAUCAUCUUUAUCAAGGUUUCUAUUGGUAGAUAUUGUGGAACCUUCAUUUUAAUUGUUGCUGGGGACAAUUAUUAUCUUUGCGAUGAUAAACACAACUAGUAAGUUUUCCAGGGUUUAAUACUAGAGUAUUUUAUAAAAAUUACUAGGAAUAAUUUCAGUUGCAUUUAUUUAUUCAUUUGCAACUUUUCAAGUACUUUUGGACAUGUAAUAUGUUGUGUGCUCUUGUACAUAAUGGACCCAUAAAUCUUAUAGUGGAAAUGUGCAAAGAAAUAGGAUUUCACCAAAAGUCAUGGAAAUGUCACUGAAUGAUAUCAGGAGGGAACAUCUCCAUAUAACCACCCACUCUUUCCUAAGGUUGUUUAUCUACAUCAUUUGUGAUUGAAAGUCAAACAGCACCAACUGAUGUCAUUAUAAUUGUACAUGGUGUAGUUCACCUCAAGAUCUGCAAUUAAGUAUAAACUAUAAAAGAAUUAACAAUACAAUGUACAUUUGGCUUAAAAAAUCAUACAGAACAAUGACUAAAAUCAUACGUUAGCUGUUCGUAAUUAGUGGUUUUUAUAGACCCAUGAAACUGUGCUGAAUAAUGUACAGUAAAUCACAGUAUAGUCAUAAAAAAACGUCUAGAGUACAAACAUUAAAUGUGUGCAACACUUUCCACUAUUUACUACAAAAUAGUGUUAAUUAAACAAUAGAAAACAAUAGAAUUAGAAUAAUUUAGCAGUAUUUAGUGGUAUUUAUGUUGCACAGUUUUAGUGUUAUACUCUAAUAAGAGGUAAUGUAAUGUGGAAUAAAAGUGUCUUUCAUGGGUUUAUACUAACUGCUCUCAAUGCCAAAAGUUAGCUGCUUGGCUUUGUCUUUCAUGACAGGUUGAAUGAUACUGAUUGACGGAAUAGCCAAAAUAUANACUCAGUCAACAGUAGAGUCCACUAAAACCAUGUAAAAUGUUAGUAAUGAAGUAGUGCGCGAAGCAUGUGAAUUUCUUUAUUUUCUAUUGCUUAAUCUCCUCCAUAUUGCACUCACUACCCAGCACUAUUUGGUUAGUAAUAUUUUCACUCCACAAAUGAUAGACUUAAAAUAAUUAUAUACAAAUUAUAUGUAAAAUGCAAGUGUCAAUUGGUCAUUCUGAAAUUCAAAAAGAGACUGCCACCUAGUCACACUUUGAAGUAACCAAAGUCCAUGACUAGAAAGAGCCUUUUAAAAUUAGUAUAACUUUAGAGUUUGAGGAUAUUUGGAUUAAUAANAACAGACUGGCAAGUGUUUAAAUUUUAGAGAAAAAAAUUUGACAAAAUAAUAAUGUAUGGUGCUUCUGAGCAGCGUCCCCUAAAAACCAUACAACUCUCUUAUUUUAGCUUUGCAGAUGUUAUUAGUAUGAGUCAUACAAAUGAUACUAAUAACAUUUGGAGGAGGCUGUCUUUUUUUUUUCAACAUUUAAAAGAAAUUGUUAAUUGGUGAGUAUUUAACUAAAAAAAUUGUCUCAAACUUGAAAAUUGCACUUGUCUACUAACUAAUAACAAGUUGACCAUUUUCAUACUCUUUCCCAGUCACUUUUUCAAUUUCAGAAAGGCCAAUAGGAAUGAAAACAAAAUUAUAAAUGAGCUAACAUAAGAUGUGUGCAUACAACUCUUUUGGCUGCUGAGCCAAUGCCUACUUCUAGUGUAAGAACUNGGUGGUAAUAGCCAUUAAUUGAAAUAUUUCCAUAUGAAUGUGAUUAUUAUGUAAAAAUAUAAGUUAAAAUAAUUAUCAAUUCAAUAUUUCCAAGUACAAAAGGGUAUCAGAUUAAAUAAAAAAAGCUUGAUUUUGUGA
RNAcentral lists this long non-coding RNA (2852 nucleotides) under Exaiptasia diaphana. RNAcentral's name for it is "uncharacterized LOC114574621". Lineage: Eukaryota; Metazoa; Cnidaria; Anthozoa; Actiniaria; Aiptasiidae. The record is from RNAcentral.